GAAUGCUGACAUAAGUAACGAUAAUGCGGGUGAAAAACCCGCACGCCGGAAGACCAAGGGUUCCUGUCCAACGUUAAUCGGGGCAGGGUGAGUCGACCCCUAAGGCGAGGCCGAAAGGCGUAGUCGAUGGGAAACAGGUUAAUAUUCCUGUACUUGGUGUUACUGCGAAGGGGGGACGGAGAAGGCUAUGUUAGCCGGGCGACGGUUGUC
RNAcentral lists this ribosomal RNA (210 nucleotides) under Kluyvera ascorbata. RNAcentral's name for it is "partial 23S ribosomal RNA". It matches the Rfam family "Bacterial large subunit ribosomal RNA", at positions 1292 to 1506 of the family's 2925-position model. Lineage: Bacteria; Pseudomonadati; Pseudomonadota; Gammaproteobacteria; Enterobacterales; Enterobacteriaceae. RNAcentral also lists the same sequence under 1 other name. The record is from RNAcentral.